AAAGUCGUAACAAGGUUUCCGUAGGUGAACCUGCGGAAGGAUCAUUACCGUUACUCUGUGUCUUGCACACACUGUAAACCACUGUGAACUGUUCCGAGCUUGUGGGGUGGUUCUUCUUUGCAGGAGAAUCUCAAAUGCAGUUAGACAGCCGAGGCUGGCUGCUGCGGCCCCACAUGUCUGUCUCUUAUGUUUUUCAAAACACUCGUCAAUUCAUUCCAGUUGAAUAGUAUCACUCUGGCCAGUCCAGUUUGAUACACAGUUUAAACACAUGACAACUUCUAACGGUGGAUCUCUUGGCUCGUGCAUCGAUGAAGAACGUAGCCAGUUGCGAUAAGUAGUGUGAAUUGCAGAAUUCAGUGAAUCAUCGAAUCUUUGAACGCAAAUUGCGCUCUCUGGAUAUCCAGGGAGCAUGCCUGUCUGAGUGUCGUGAUAAAAACUACACACCCCUGGUGUGGCAUGUGGGUAUCGAGUUUGCAGAUUGCUCAGGCGUUCUGUACUAAACUCGUCCUGCGAAGUGCGUGAACCUGAAUGUGCUGCUGACUGCAUGUGCAUUGGGAAGGCUCAACUUGCUUCUGUCUUUCCCUCUGCGUUCUCAUGCCAGCAGUAUCAUUGUAGAUGGUGAACAAGACGGUGUCCCACCCAUGGGGCGGGCACGAUGUCAAUUUCUGAUUUUGACCUCAGAUCAGACAAGACUACCCGCUGAAUUUAAGCAUAUCAAUA
Molecule: ribosomal RNA, 720 nt
Filed under: uncultured eukaryote
Lineage: Eukaryota
Description: eukaryotic LSU rRNA
Rfam family: 5.8S ribosomal RNA (bases 274-427)
Source: RNAcentral